RNA transcript from Quercus robur (English oak), 2935 nucleotides. It is a transcript of the gene named SWI/SNF complex subunit SWI3C, with no coding region annotated. The record is from RefSeq and is a predicted model, not a curated record. The transcript is spliced from 10 exons. Lineage: Eukaryota; Viridiplantae; Streptophyta; Magnoliopsida; Fagales; Fagaceae.
CGAUUCCCACUCCAUUCCAUUACCAUAAUCAAAACCCAAUUACCCAAAUACCAAAAUUUGUGCUCUCACCAGUCACCACCUGAGCAAAGAAAGAGAGCCAAGCCAAGCAAGGCAGCUCAUAGCAUCACUCUCUCUCACACACACACACACGCAUACAGCACUCUCUCGCUUUCCAUCCCUACUUUCUCUCAUACCGUUAGUCCCAAAAUCAAACACCUUAACCCAAAAAUCCCUCUCUUUCUCAAAUCCCUUCUACAAUGCCAGCUUCCCCUUCCUUCCCUUCAGAGACCCGCACCAAAUGGAAGAAGCGAAAGAGAGAGCCCCAAAUCAACCGGAGGCAGAAGCACGACGAAGAAGACGAAGACGAAGAAGACAACCACGACGACGACCUAGACCCCCAAAACGACUCCGAGGACCCUCAAUCCGACGCCGUUCCGCUCGAUCCCAACGGCCUUAACGAGAGCGAGGUUUUGUCCGACACCGGCGCUCGAAUCUCCGACUUCCCUCCGGUCGUCAGGCACGCCGUCAAUCGCCCUCACUCCUCCGUGCUGGCUAUUGCGGCCUUAGAGCGUGCCAAUGAGAGUGGAGACAGCAAGGGCCAGAGUUCGAUGGUUUUGGAGAAUGUUUCGUAUGGUCAGCUCCAGGCGCUUUCCGCCGUGCCUGCCGAUUGUCCCGUCUUCGAUCAGGACCGGAUGGAUGGCGCUGCCGCCGCCGCCGCCGCUGCCUAUGUGAUCACGCCGCCGCAGAUUAUGGAAGGCCGCGGGGUUGUCAAGCGGUAUGGGAGUAGGGUUCAUGUGGUGCCAAUGCAUUCAGAUUGGUUUUCACCGGCUACAGUGCAUCGACUGGAGAGGCAAGUAGUGCCACAUUUCUUCUCUGGGAAAUCACCAGACCACACACCAGAGAAAUACAUGGAAUGCAGGAACUACAUUGUCGCCAAAUACAUGGAAAAUCCGGAGAAGAGGCUCGUGGUCUCUGAUUGCCAAGGAUUGGUAGUUGGUGUUGAUAAUGAAGAUUUAAAUCGAAUUGUUCGGUUUCUUGAUCAUUGGGGAAUUAUCAAUUAUUGUGCUGUGGCACCAAGUCGUGAGCCUUGGAAUGGUGGGUCCUACUUAAGGGAGGAUCCAAAUGGUGAGAUCCAUGUGCCGUCAGCUGCUUUAAAGUCCAUUGAUAGUUUAAUCAAAUUUGACAAGCCCAAAUGUCGGCUCAAAGCAGCUGAUGUUUAUUCGUCAUUGUCAUCUCAUGAUGCUGAUGCCUCUAAUCUGGACAACAGAAUCCGUGAGCGUCUGUCUGAAAAUCAUUGCAAUUAUUGUUCUCGGUCUCUUCCCACUGUGUACUAUCAGUCACAAAAAGAGAUUGAUACACUACUAUGCUCUGAUUGCUUCCAUGAGGGGAGGUUUGUUACUGGCCAUUCUAGCAUAGAUUUUAUAAGGAUGGAUUCUACAAAUGAUUAUGGUGAUCCAGAUGGGGAAAGUUGGACUGAUCAGGAAACUUUACUACUACUUGAGGCAAUGGAAAUCUACAAUGAGAAUUGGAAUGAAAUUGCCGACCAUGUUGGUACCAAGUCUAAAGCACAAUGCAUUCUUCACUUUCUCCGUCUUCCCAUGGAGAAUGGCCUACUGGAAAAUAUUGAAGUUCCAGGCAUAUCAUCCAACUCGUUAAAUGGAGAUGACCGUGGAAGAUCAAAUUCAAAUUAUAAUGGGGAUUCAGCAGGAUCUUGCCAUCAAGAUGCUGAUCCUGAAAGCAGACUCCCUUUUGCAAAUUCUGGGAAUCCAGUUAUGGCCCUGGUUGCCUUUUUGGCCUCUGCUGUUGGACCAAGAAUUGCCGCAGCCUGUGCCCAUGCUUCUUUGGCAGCAUUGUCUGAUGAGAAUGGCUUAUCUGCUUCUGGAAGCAUUAUACAGAUAGAAGGAUCUGGACAUGGUAAUAGGAUGAACUCAGAGAGUGUACAUGGCAGAGAAGGUGUUCGUCAUGGAGAAAUUGCAAAUUCAAUCCAUCAAAAAGAAGAGAAUUCAGGAGUACAUGGUUCAUGGGGUCAAAAUGAGGCAAAGAUUCCAUUAUCUGCAGAAAAAGUUAAAGCUGCUGCUAAAGCUGGCCUUGCUGCUGCAGCAACAAAGGCAAAGCUGUUUGCAGAUCAUGAAGAACGGGAAAUUCAGCGGCUAUCUGCUAAUAUCAUAAACCAUCAGUUGAAAAGAUUGGAGCUGAAGCUGAAGCAAUUUGCUGAAGUGGAAACAUUUUUGAUGAAAGAAUGUGAACAAGUUGAGAGGACAAGACAGAGGAUUGCUGCUGAGAGGGCCCGCAUGAUAUCAGCUCGAUUUGGAUCUGCUGGGGCCACUUCACCAAUGAUUCUACCAGGUGUUGGUCCUUCCAUGGUUAACAAUAAUACCAGCAACAAUAGGCAACAAAUUAUAUCAGCUUCACCUUCACAGCCGAGCAUUCCGGGAUAUAAUAACAAUCAACCAGUCCAUCCCCACAUGCCAUUUAUGCCGCGGCAGCAAAUGUUUGGAAUGGGGCCAAGGUUGCCUAUGUCAGCAAUACAGCAGUCACCUACUUCAAAUGUCAUGUUCAACUCUUCAGGGAAUGUACAGCCUACUCUCAAUCAACCAAUGCUUCGACCUGUAUCUGGUACUAGCUCUAGUUUAGGUUAGAAAAGAGAACAUUAUAUUAGUUCUCAAUUUUAUGAUUCAAUUCCUUUUGGUGAUUCAUUUCUGCAUUGGAUACGAAAAGGGCAGAAAAAGGUUAAAUGGAUCAGCCAAGAAAUCUGCCUCACAUUUGUCUAUUUUUGAUUUAAACAGAAAUUAGAUGGGGCAGAUAUUGUAGGUCUUGUAAUUGUAUACUGUCAAAAAUAGGAAUUAGUUUCUCCCAAAGCAAAUUAUACUAUGAAAUUAGUGUUCGGAAUAGAUUUGGUUGGCUCAUCCUUGAAUUUAAAAAGUAUAUUCUUUCA